UACGUAGGUCCCGAGCGUUGUCCGGAUUUAUUGGGCGUAAAGCGAGCGCAGGUGGUUUAUUAAGUCUGGUGUAAAAGGCAGUGGCCCAACCAUUGUAUGCAUUGGAAACUGGUAGACUUGAGUGCAGGAGAGGCGAGUGGAAUUCCAUGUGUAGCGGUGAAAUGCGUAGAUAUAUGGAGGAACACCGGUGGCGAAAGCGGCUCUCUGGCCUGUAACUGACACUGAGGCUCGAAAGCGUGGGGAGCAAACAGG
This 252-nucleotide ribosomal RNA is filed under the name uncultured bacterium. RNAcentral's name for it is "partial 16S ribosomal RNA". It matches the Rfam family "Bacterial small subunit ribosomal RNA", at positions 524 to 776 of the family's 1533-position model. The record is from RNAcentral.